UACGUAGGGUGCAAGCGUUGUCCGGAAUUAUUGGGCGUAAAGAGCUCGUAGGCGGUUUGUCGCGUCGGCUGUGAAAACUCGGGGCUCAACCCCGAGCCUGCAGUCGAUACGGGCAGACUAGAGUGCUGUAGGGGAGACUGGAAUUCCUGGUGUAGCGGUGAAAUGCGCAGAUAUCAGGAGGAGCACCGGUGGCGAAGGCGGGUCUCUGGGCAGUAACUGACGCUGAGGAGCGAAAGCGUGGGGAGCGAACAGG
Molecule: ribosomal RNA, 253 nt
Filed under: uncultured bacterium
Lineage: Bacteria
Description: partial 16S ribosomal RNA
Rfam family: Bacterial small subunit ribosomal RNA
Source: RNAcentral